Molecule: ribosomal RNA, 497 nt
Filed under: uncultured bacterium
Lineage: Bacteria
Description: partial 16S ribosomal RNA
Rfam family: Bacterial small subunit ribosomal RNA
Source: RNAcentral
GAUGAACGCUGGCGGCGUGCCUAAUACAUGCAAGUCGAGCGAACAGACGAGGAGCUUGCUCCUCUGACGUUAGCGGCGGACGGGUGAGUAACACGUGGAUAACCUACCUAUAAGACUGGGAUAACUUCGGGAAACCGGAGCUAAUACCGGAUAAUAUAUUGAACCGCAUGGUUCAAUAGUGAAAGACGGUUUUGCUGUCACUUAUAGAUGGAUCCGCGCCGCAUUAGCUAGUUGGUAAGGUAACGGCUUACCAAGGCGACGAUGCGUAGCCGACCUGAGAGGGUGAUCGGCCACACUGGAACUGAGACACGGUCCAGACUCCUACGGGAGGCAGCAGUAGGGAAUCUUCCGCAAAGGGCGAAAGCCUGGCGGAGCAACGCCGCGUGAGUGAUGAAGGUCUUCGGAUCGUAAAACUCUGUUAUUAGGGAAGAACAAAUGUGUAAGUAACUAUGCACGUCUUGACGGUACCUAAUCAGAAAGCCACGGCUAACUACGUG